GACGAACGCUGGCGGCGUGCUUAACACAUGCAAGUCGAACGAUGAUGCUGGAGCUUGCUCCAGUUGAUUAGUGGCGAACGGGUGAGUAACACGUGAGCAAUCUGCCCUUGACUCUGGGAUAACUGCGGGAAACUGUAGCUAAUACCGGAUACUUUCACCGGGGAGCAUCCUCUGGGGAUGAAAGAAUUUCGGUCAAGGAUGAGCUCGCGGCCUAUCAGCUUGUUGGUGAGGUAACGGCUCACCAAGGCGACGACGGGUAACCGGCCUGAGAGGGUGACCGGUCACACUGGGACUGAGACACGGCCCAGACUCCUACGGGAGGCAGCAGUGGGGAAUAUUGCACAAUGGGCGCAAGCCUGAUGCAGCAACGCCGCGUGAGGGAUGAAGGCCUUCGGGUUGUAAACCUCUUUUAGCAGGGAAGAAGCGAAAGUGACGGUACCUGCAGAAAAAGCACCGGCUAACUACGUGCCAGCAGCCGCCGUAA
RNAcentral lists this ribosomal RNA (484 nucleotides) under uncultured bacterium. RNAcentral's name for it is "partial 16S ribosomal RNA". It matches the Rfam family "Bacterial small subunit ribosomal RNA", at positions 28 to 523 of the family's 1533-position model. The record is from RNAcentral.